AACUGUCUCUUGCAGCCCACCCAUGAAACUGAUCUCUUAGUCCAAAAGCUAAGAUUUUACCACAAGACGAGAAGACCCUGUGGAGCUUAUAAACCAAGCUCAAAAUUAUGCCCUCCUUGGUUUUCAGUUGGGGCGACUUCGGAGCACAAAAAACCCUCCGACAUAGUACCAGCCAAACUUAGAUGGACACAUCAAAUAUAUAAAGACCCAGUGGUUUUCAAAACCAUCUGAUCAAAGAACCAAGUUACCCCAGGGAUAACAGCGCCAUCCUCUCUUAGAGUCCCUAUCGACGAGAGGGCUUACGACCUCGAUGUUGGAUCAGGACAGCCUAAUAGUGCAACAGCUAUUAAUGGUUCGUUUGUUCAACGAUUAA
This 373-nucleotide ribosomal RNA is filed under the name Acanthodactylus grandis (giant fringe-fingered lizard). RNAcentral's name for it is "partial 16S ribosomal RNA". It matches the Rfam family "Bacterial large subunit ribosomal RNA", at positions 2014 to 2591 of the family's 2925-position model. Lineage: Eukaryota; Metazoa; Chordata; Lepidosauria; Squamata; Lacertidae. The record is from RNAcentral.